RNAcentral lists this ribosomal RNA (494 nucleotides) under uncultured bacterium. RNAcentral describes it as "partial 16S ribosomal RNA". It matches the Rfam family "Bacterial small subunit ribosomal RNA", at positions 28 to 507 of the family's 1533-position model. The record is from RNAcentral.
GACGAACGCUGGCGGCGUGCUUAACACAUGCAAGUCGAACGGUGAAGCGCCUUCCUUUUUGGUGGGUGUGGAUGAGUGGCGAACGGGUGAGUAACACGUGAGUAACCUGCUCCCUUCUUCUGGAUAACCGCAUGAAAGUGUGGCUAAUACGGGAUAUUCUGGGUCUGUCGCAUGAUGGGUCUGGGAAAGAUAUUGUUUCGGUGGGGGAUGGGCUCGCGGCCUAUCAGCUUGUUGGUGGGGUGAUGGCCUACCAAGGCGGUGACGGGUAGCCGGCCUGAGAGGGUGGACGGUCACACUGGGACUGAGACACGGCCCCGCCUCCUACGGGCGGCAGCAGGGAAGAUUAUUGCACAGUGGGCGCAAGGCUGAUGCAGCGACGCCGCGUGAGGGAUGGAGGCCUUCGGGUUGCGAACCUCUUUCGGCAGUGAAGCAGGGCUGCCUCGUUUGUGGGUGGGUUGACGGUAGCUGGAUAAGAAGCGCCGGCUAACUACGUG